Molecule: ribosomal RNA, 206 nt
Filed under: uncultured bacterium
Lineage: Bacteria
Description: partial 16S ribosomal RNA
Rfam family: Bacterial small subunit ribosomal RNA
Source: RNAcentral
CGCGCAGGCGGCCUCCCGCGUGGGUGGUGAAAGCUCCCGGCUUAACUGGGAGAGGUCCAUUCAGACGGGGAGGCUUGAGCGUCGGAGAGGGGCAUGGAAUUCCAAGUGGAGCGGUGAAAUGCGUAGAGAUCCGGAGGAACACCAAUGGCGAAGGCAGUGCCCUGGCCGACGGCUGACGCUCAGGCGCGAAAGCGUGGGAGCAAACA